UACGUAGGGGGCGAGCGUUGUCCGGAAUUACUGGGUGUAAAGGGCUCGUAGGCGGGCAAGUAAGUUGCCGACGAAAACCCAGGGCUCAACCCUGGAUUGAUCGGCAAUACUGCUUACCUUGAGGACAGGAGAGGAGAGUGGAAUUCCUGGUGUAGCGGUGAAAUGCGUAGAUAUCAGGAGGAACACCAGUGGCGAAGGCGGCUCUCUGGCCUGUCCCUGACGCUGAGGAGCGAAAGCCAGGGGAG
This 245-nucleotide ribosomal RNA is filed under the name uncultured bacterium. RNAcentral's name for it is "partial 16S ribosomal RNA". It matches the Rfam family "Bacterial small subunit ribosomal RNA", at positions 524 to 768 of the family's 1533-position model. The record is from RNAcentral.